UCGUGAAGCCAAAUUUUGGAACAGAUCCACCUUAAUUGUUCUUCCGUUUCCAAACGAUUCUCAAUCAAUCAACCAAUUUCAUUCGCCAAUAAUUUCCAGAACCGUAAAUUCAGAAUUUCAAGGAGAACCGCACAACUAUUUUACUGAUAUUCAGCUGCACCGUUAAAUUGAUUAAGUGCAAAACUUCAAUUGCUAUGCUCACUGAAUAUAUCAAGCGUGUAAACUGUUUGUUAGAAAGCUUCAAAGAAAUUUUAAUUUGUAGAAAAUACAAGAAUUGAUUCUAAUCAGAAUUUUUUUUGAAACAUCUUUAUCAAAUGAAUUAAACUUUCAAACUCAGUGUAAUGCCGAAUUCAUCUGAUUUUUCAUAUGUAUGAAUUGUACCUUUUAAUCACGAAUAAACAAUUCCAGCAAAUGCUCAAUCGGUACAUCAGCAGAAAUUCUUCAGCGCCUUUCAAAUCGCGAUUCACUCAUUCGUCACUGCUUUGCUUCAUCAAAUUAAACCCGAUCAAGAUCAAUGUUUUGCUUCGAAAUCAACAUCUACUUCAGUCAUCUUCAACAUUUCGCCAGAAUGUGAAACUUAAUCCGCGAACGAUUAUAAUUCCUUUGAGAAUGCUCUUCGUUUGAGAUGACGAAGUUAAUCGGUCAGUUCUCCGUGCACUGAUUCUGUUUGUCGGAAAACCACUAAAACCUAUGUUCGCGAUUCUUCCAACACCUCAAUGUUUCUCCGUUUUGCUUCUUCACAGUUGCUCCAGGAAAACGAAGAACAAUGAACGCAAAAGGCAGAACCAAAAUUUUCGGAAUCGGAAUUGAAAGCAGAAGAAGAACUUACAUGAACCAAUUCCGACUAAGCACGAAAGGAACCGAAACUUUAGAUUCUGUUUUCUGACUUCCUAUUCCAGAUUCAAAUUCUCCUCCGGCGCCGUUCGCAGUUGAAGACGAAAUCAUACUCCCGAAGUCUUGUAGUGCGAAAACUGUGGAAGCGUCGCGCACCAAUUUCACUCACACUGGACUUGUUCCGAUUCCAAUUUCAUGAACACUCAGAAGAUGAAGAACAGCAACACAAAUCGCAGAGAAAAUUUGAGGAAAAUCUGAAAAUCUAAACCAAAUCUGCUAUUGGCAGCGCAGAUCCAACAAUUUUCAUAAACAGUUCACAUUACUGCUCACACCACUUGAUUUUCUUUUUGAACCACGAAAAAUUUUCGGACAAAUUUCGAGAACUUUCGAAAAUGAUUUUUGAAGAGAAUGAUAAUGGAAAGCUAACUCAAAGAAAAUUGUUGAUGAUCUAGUAGCAAUUUAUG
This 1298-nucleotide long non-coding RNA is filed under the name Phaseolus vulgaris (common bean). RNAcentral describes it as "long non-coding RNA (PVUL_LNC005070)". The record is from RNAcentral. Lineage: Eukaryota; Viridiplantae; Streptophyta; Magnoliopsida; Fabales; Fabaceae.